AAAAGUCGUAACAAGGUUUCCGUAGGUGAACCUGCGGAAGGAUCAUUAAUGGAAAAUAUUUACAUUGUAUGUGAAGGGUUGUAGCUGGCCCUCUGGGGCAAAUAUAUGUGCACACCUAGAUCAUCAUGUAUAUAACCAUUUAAUAAUUUUUAUUACCCUUGUGCACAUCCUUGUAGCUUAGCUAUUCUACCAUAUAGUUAAGUUAUGAAUGCCUUUUAUUAUACACUUGGAAUUUUUGGGCAUUAUUGAAUGUUAUAAUAUAUAAUAUAACUUUCAGCAAUGGAUCUCUUGGCUCUCGCAUCGAUGAAGAACGCAGCGAAAUGUGAUAAGUAAUGUGAAUUGCAGAAUUCAGUGAAUCAUCGAAUCUUUGAACGCAUCUUGCACUCCUUGGUAUUCUGAGGAGUAUGUCUGUUUGAGUGUCAUAUAAUUUAUCAACUACUUUGUUUUUAUCAAAGUGAAGUUGGACUAUGAAGGAUUGCAGUCAAAGUUUUUGACUGCUCCUUUAAAAUGUAUGAGGUAAAUAUCUUUAGGGGUAUUUAAGAAAUAUCAUCAAUGAGAUAAGUUAAAACAUUGUUGAUAUGGUAUUACACCCUAAGGUUUUAUCAGAAUCUAUAAAGUUAUAAUUUGACCUCAAAUCAGAUAGGAUUACCCGCUGAACUUAAGCAUAUCAAUAAGCGGAGGAAA
This 684-nucleotide ribosomal RNA is filed under the name Neosarcodon colombiensis. Its description in RNAcentral is "eukaryotic LSU rRNA". The stretch from base 269 to 422 matches the Rfam family "5.8S ribosomal RNA". Lineage: Eukaryota; Fungi; Basidiomycota; Agaricomycetes; Thelephorales; Thelephoraceae. The record is from RNAcentral.